Molecule: ribosomal RNA, 253 nt
Filed under: uncultured bacterium
Lineage: Bacteria
Description: partial 16S ribosomal RNA
Rfam family: Bacterial small subunit ribosomal RNA
Source: RNAcentral
UACGUAGGGGGCAAGCGUUGUCCGGAUUCAUUGGGCGUAAAGAGCGUGUAGGCGGCCAGGUAGGUCGGUUGUGAAAACUGGAGGCUCAACCUUCAGAGGUCGACCGAAACCAUCUGGCUAGAGUCCGGGAGAGGAGAGUGGAAUUCCUGGUGUAGCGGUGAAAUGCGCAGAUAUCAGGAAGAACACCCGUGGCGAAAGCGGCCCUCUGGAACGGUACUGACGCUGAGACGCGAAAGCGUGGGGAGCGAACAGG